This 500-nucleotide unclassified non-coding RNA is filed under the name uncultured Glomus. Its description in RNAcentral is "SSU rRNA". It matches the Rfam family "Eukaryotic small subunit ribosomal RNA", at positions 591 to 1092 of the family's 1831-position model. The record is from RNAcentral. Lineage: Eukaryota; Fungi; Glomeromycota; Glomeromycetes; Glomerales; Glomeraceae.
CCAAUAGCGUAUAUUAAAGUUGUUGCAGUUAAAAAGCUCGUAGUUGAACUUCGGGAUCAAUGGGUCGGUCAUGCCGUCGGUAUGUACUGAUUUUAUUGGUUCCCACCUUCUAAGGAACCGUAAUGUCAUUAGUUUGAUGUUGCGGGGAAUUAGGACUGUUACCUUGAAAAAAUUAGAGUGUUUAAAGCAGGCUAACGCUUGAAUACAUUAGCAUGGAAUAAUGAAAUAGGACAUCAGAUUCUAUUUUGUUGGUUUCUAGGAUCGAUGUAAUGAUUAAUAGGGAUAGUUGGGGGCAUUAGUAUUCAAUUGUCAGAGGUGAAAUUCUUGGAUUUAUUGAAGACUAACUACUGCGAAAGCAUUUGCCAAGGAUGUUUUCAUUAAUCAAGAACGAAAGUUAGGGGAUCGAAGACGAUCAGAUACCGUCGUAGUCUUAACCAUAAACUAUGCCGACUAGGGAUCGGAUGAUGUUAAUUUUUUAAUGACUCAUUCGGCACCUUACG